RNAcentral lists this ribosomal RNA (530 nucleotides) under uncultured bacterium. RNAcentral's name for it is "bacterial SSU rRNA". It matches the Rfam family "Bacterial small subunit ribosomal RNA", at positions 777 to 1308 of the family's 1533-position model. The record is from RNAcentral.
AAUAGAUACCCAGGUAGUCCACGCCGUAAACGGUGGGCGCUAGGUGUGGGGGACUUUCCACGUCCUCUGUGCCGCAGCUAACACAUUAAGCGCCCCGCCUGGGGAGUACGGCCGCAAGGCUAAAACUCAAAGGAAUUGACGGGGGCCCGCACAAGCGGCGGAGCAUGUGGCUUAAUUCGACGCAACGCAAAGAACCUUACCAAGGCUUGACAUGCAGGGAAAUCUCGUAGAGAUACGGGGUCCGCAAGGGCUCUGCACAGGUGGUGCAUGGUUGUCGUCAGCUCGUGUCGUGAGAUGUUGGGUUAAGUCCCGCAACGAGCGCAACCCUUGUCCUAUGUUGCCAGCGAGUAAUGUCGGGGACUCAUAGGAGACUGCCGGGGUCAACUCGGAGGAAGGUGGGGAUGACGUCAAAUCAUCAUGCCCCUUAUGUCUUGGGCUGUACACAUGCUACAAUGGUCGGUACAAAGGGCUGCGAGACCGCAAGGUGGAGCGAAUCCCAAAAGCCGGCCUCAGUUCGGAUUGGGGUCUGC